UAUGUGAUCGUCUCUCGCAUAUCAAUAAGCGGAGGAAAAGAAACUAACAAGGAUUCCCCUAGUAACGGCGAGUGAAGCGGGAAGAGCUCAAAUUUGAAAUCUUAAAGGGUUUCCCUUUACGAAUUGUAGUUUAAAGAAGUGUUUUCUGUUGAGGUUUUGGUAAAAGUUCUUUGGAAUAGGGACAUCAUAGAGGGUGAGAAUCCCGUAUUUGACCUUUACUUUCAACUUUGUGAUACACUUUCAAUGAGUCGGAUUGUUUGGGAAUGCAGUCCAAAAUGGGUGGUAAAUUUCAUCUAAAGCUAAAUAUUGGCGAGAGACCGAUAGCGAACAAGUACCGUGAGGGAAAGAUGAAAAGAACUUUGAAAAGAGAGUUAAACAGUACGUGAAAUUGUCAAAAGGGAAGCGUUUGACACCAGUGUUGUUUUUCUGAAAAUCAAUUAAAGAACUGUUUAUGCUAAGCUGUUUAGACUUUAUCAGCUAUCUGUUUAGUUUUGAGCUUUUCUUUAAUGCACUUUUCAGUUAACAAGUCAACAUCAAUUUCUUUUGCUGUAAAAAAGCUUGAGGAAGGUGGCUUGAGAUUCGUCUUAAGUGUUUAUAGCCUCUUGCCUAUGCAGUCGGAGAGAUUGAGGUCUGCAGCGUAGAUCCUUCGGGGCUAAAUGCAUUUGUGCUAAGUUAUAGCAUUUUAUAGACAACUUGUUGACUAUGAUUUGUCUUGUAGCUUACUCGCUUAUGUUAUUUUACCUACGCUUAGGAUGUUGAACGCGCACAGAGUCUC
Molecule: ribosomal RNA, 775 nt
Filed under: uncultured Neocallimastigales
Lineage: Eukaryota; Fungi; Neocallimastigomycota; Neocallimastigomycetes; Neocallimastigales
Description: partial large subunit ribosomal RNA
Rfam family: Eukaryotic large subunit ribosomal RNA
Source: RNAcentral